UUCACUCUGUGGAUUAUGUCCUUUGAUGAACAGAACUUUUAAAUUUUUAAGUUUUAUUUUGCUGCCUGUACUUUUGGUGUCAUAUCCAAGAAAUCAUUGCCAAAUCCGAUGUUAUGGAGUUUUUCUCCCAUAUUUUCUUCUAAGAAUUUUAUAGUUUUAGGUCUUAUGUUUAGGUCUUUGAUUCAUUUUGAGUUUUGUUGUGUGUUUGUUUUUUGAGAUAGGGUCUCACUCUGUCGCCCAGGCUGGAGUGUAGUGGUGUGAUCUUGGCUUACUGCAACCUCCGCCUCCCAGGUUCAAGUGAUUCUCCUGCCUCAGCCUCCUGAGUAGCUGGGACUACAAGCGUGUGUCACCAUGCCCGGGAGAAAAGCAUUCAACCUCACAUCAUCAAGUAGAAUGUAACUGUGGGCCGGGCAUGGUGGCUCACGCCCGUAAUCCAAGCACUUUGGGAGGCUGAGGUGGGUGGAUGACCUGAGUUCGGGAGUUCAAGACCAGCCUGACCAACAUGGAGAAAUCCAGUCUCUACUAAAAAUACAAAAAAUUAGCCUGGCGUGGUGGUGCAUCCCUAUAAUCCCAGCUACUCUGGAGGUUAAGGCCUGAAGGGUUUCAUUUGAAAGUUACAAUUUCAAAUGAGGUGACCUCAACAGGGAGAGACAGGGUGGAGUGAACCACCGGAGAAACAGAGCCGAGGGAGGAGAUCGGAGGAUCUGAAGGAAAAUAUGAAUUCCCUACGCCUUCAGAGUUGCAGGGAGAGGCCUUCCACAGCAGGGCUCUUCAAAGAGUCCAUGAGAGUGCCCCAGAAGAGAAUCACCUUUGAACAUUUGCCAGAACUGGAGUGUAGCUGUUACUUAUUGCCAUCAUAGGGGUGUGUAACAAACAUCCCCAAAACUUAUUGGCUCCAAACCAUGACAAAGUCUGUGGUAAUUGACUUGUCCGCUGGACUUUUUUGGUCUAGACUGGACUGGGCUGGGCUUUUUCAUGUGUUUUUUUGUCAGCUGGCAAGUUGUCUGGGACAGGGCUGGUCUAGGCUGGCCUUGGCUGGAGUGACUUGGCCUGGCUCCAUGUGGUGUCUCAUCCUCCAGCAGGCUAGCCUGGUAUUCACGUGGAGAUCAUGACAGUCAGCACAAGUAUGCAAGAUCUCUUGAGGCCUGGGCUUGGAACUGGAAGGCCACCAUUUCCACAGCAUUCUAUCAGCUGAAGCAAGUCACAAUGCCAGCCCAGAUUUAACGGCUGCCAAACCACCCUGCAAGGUGUGCGUCCACCAAGACCCACUCUCCCAGCGCUGGGCACCCACUUCGCACUGCAGUGAGCAUCGGGGACCUGUGUGAGAAUGUCUGGGGCGAGAUGUUGUUAGGAGAGGAACUGCUGCAUCUCAGUCCUGCACUUCCUUCAUCUUACUAACACACCUAGAGACCCUUCCCAAGGGCCACCCAGCCCACCCUCCCAGCAGAGUGAGGGAGGUCUCCUGUAUUACAUCAUGUAACUGUGACAUCACCGAGCUUUCAGACUUCUGCCAGCCUAAAUGUGUAAAGUGAACCUUCAUUGUGAUUUUAAUUUGAUUUCUCACAUUACCAGUGCUUUUGAGUGUCUUCUCUUCUGCUUGUUAAUGUCUUGGAUAUCCUCUUCUGUAAAUUCAUACCCUUUGCUCUGUUUUCUUUUCAUUUUUUUGAGAUGGAGUCUCGCUCUGUCGUCCAGGCUGGAGUUCAGCGGCACAAUCUCGGCUUACUGCAACCUCCACUUCCCAGGUUCAAGCGAUUUUCCUGCCUCAGCCUCCCGAGUAGCUAGGACAACAGGCACAAGCCACCAUGCCUGGCCAAUUUUUGUGUUUUUAGUAGAGAUGGUAUUUCACCAUGUUGGCCAGGCUGGUCUUGAACUCCUGACCUCAGGCGAUUCAUCCGCUUUGGCCUCCCAAAGUGCUGGGAUUACAGGCAUGAGCCACUGCGUCCAGCCCCUUUGCUCUGUUUUCUGUAGAACUGCUGUAUUUUCUUAUUAAGCUACACCUUUUUGAAAUGGAUUUAAUUGUUCUUUUGACUUUGCCAUUUUAAAAAUAUUUUAAGCCGGGCAUGGUGGCUCAUGCCUUUUAUUCCAACACUUUGGAGGUGGAGGCAGUAGGACUGCUUGAGCCCAGGAGUUCGAGACCAGCUUGGGCAACAUAAGGAGACCCCCGUCUUUAAAAAUAAUUUAAAAAAUUAGCCAGGCAUGCUGCCACACACCUGUAGUCCCAGCUGGGAGCCUGAGGCAGGAGGAUCACCUGAGCCUAGGAGGUGGAGGUUGCAGUGAGAUGUGAUUGUGCCACUGCAGUCUAGUCUGGGUCACAGAGACCCCAUCUUAAAGUAAAUAAAUAAAAUUAUUUUGUCAUAUAUACAUUGUUUCUAAUCUCAAAAUCAUUUUAUAGGCUGUUACAGCUCAUAGGGCCUGUGGCACAGUGCUAGAGAUAUCACUAAUAAAAUGUAUUUGAC
This 2456-nucleotide long non-coding RNA is filed under the name Homo sapiens (human). RNAcentral describes it as "HSALNT0278687". Lineage: Eukaryota; Metazoa; Chordata; Mammalia; Primates; Hominidae. The record is from RNAcentral.